RNAcentral lists this non-coding RNA (24 nucleotides) under Arabidopsis thaliana (thale cress). The record is from RNAcentral. Lineage: Eukaryota; Viridiplantae; Streptophyta; Magnoliopsida; Brassicales; Brassicaceae.
AGUAACUCUUUGGUGAGAGAUGGC